CCUACGGGAGGCUGCAGUGAGGAAUAUUGGUCAAUGGACGAGAGUCUGAACCAGCCAAGUAGCGUGAAGGAUGACUGCCCUAUGGGUUGUAAACUUCUUUUAUAAAGGAAUAAAACGAGGCACGUGUGCCUUUUUGCAUGUACUUUAUGAAUAAGGAUCGGCUAACUCCGUGCCAGCAGCCGCGGUAAUACGGAGGAUCCGAGCGUUAUCCGGAUUUAGUGGGUUUAAAGGGAGCGUAGAUGGGUUGUUAAGUCAGUUGUGAAAGUUUGCGGCUCAACCGUAAAAUUGCAAUUGAUACUGGCAGUCUUGAGUACAGUUGAGGUAGGCGGAAUUCGUAGUGUAGCGGUGAAAUGCGUAGAUAUCACGAAGAACCCCGAUUGCGAAGGCAGCUUACUAAACUGUGACUGACAUUGAUGCUCGAAAGUGUGGGUAUCAAACAGGAUUAGAUACCCGUGUAGUC
This 460-nucleotide ribosomal RNA is filed under the name uncultured bacterium. RNAcentral describes it as "partial 16S ribosomal RNA". It matches the Rfam family "Bacterial small subunit ribosomal RNA", at positions 338 to 795 of the family's 1533-position model. The record is from RNAcentral.